RNAcentral lists this ribosomal RNA (399 nucleotides) under uncultured bacterium. Its description in RNAcentral is "bacterial SSU rRNA". It matches the Rfam family "Bacterial small subunit ribosomal RNA", at positions 355 to 771 of the family's 1533-position model. The record is from RNAcentral.
UAGGGAAUAUUAGAAAUGGACGAAAGUCUGAUCUAGCAACACCGCGUGUGCGAUGAAGGCCUUCGGGUCGUAAAGCACUUUUUGGAAGGAAUAGGAAGGAAUGUACUUCCAGAAUAAGUCUCGGCUAACUACGUGCCAGCAGCCGCGGUAACACGUAGGAGGCAAACGUUAUCCGGAUUUACUGGGCGUAAAGCGCGUGUAGGUGGUACUGUAAGUAGGGCGUGAAAGCUCCUGGCUCAACUGGGAGAGGCCGUUCUAAACUACAGACCUAGAGGAUGGCAGAGGGAGGUGGAAUUCCAGGUGUAGCGGUGGAAUGCGCAGAUAUCUGGAGGAACACCGGUGGCGAAGGCGGCCUCCUGGACCAUUCCUGACACUCAGACGCGAAAGCUAGGGUAGCAA